GCGGGCCUAAUACAUGCAAGUCGAGCGGUAACAGGGGAGCUUGCUCCCGCUGACGAGCGGCGGACGGGUGAGUAAAGUCUAGGAAUCUGCCCAGUAGUGGGGGACAACGCGGGGAAACUCGCGCUAAUACCGCAUACGCCCUACGGGGGAAAGGUGCUUUAUUGUACCGCUAUUGGAUGAGCCUAGAUCAGAUUAGCUAGUUGGUGGGGUAAAGGCCCACCAAGGCGACGAUCUGUAGCUGGUCUGAGAGGAUGAUCAGCCACACUGGGACUGAGACACGGCCCAGACUCCUACGGGAGGCAGCAGUGGGGAAUAUUGGACAAUGGGGGAAACCCUGAUCCAGCCAUGCCGCGUGUGUGAAGAAGGUCUUCGGAUUGUAAAGCACUUUAAGUUGGGAGGAAGGGGUGAAGUAAUGACUCACCUUUGACGUUACCAACAGAAUAAGCACCGGCUAACUUCGUGCCAGCAGCCGCGGUAAUACGAAGGGUGCAAGCGUUAAUCGGAAUUACUGGGCGUAAAGCGCGCGUAGGUGGUUUAUCAAGUUGGAUGUGAAAUCCCUGGGCUCAACCUAGGAACUGCAUCCAAAACUGAUUGACUAGAGUAUAGUAGAGGUUAGUGGAAUUUCCUGUGUAGCGGUGAAAUGCGUAGAUAUAGGAAGGAACACCAGUGGCGAAGGCGACUAACUGGACUAAUACUGACACUGAGGUGCGAAAGCGUGGGGAGCAAACAGGAUUAGAUACCC
This 742-nucleotide ribosomal RNA is filed under the name uncultured Ventosimonas sp. Its description in RNAcentral is "bacterial SSU rRNA". It matches the Rfam family "Bacterial small subunit ribosomal RNA", at positions 42 to 787 of the family's 1533-position model. The record is from RNAcentral. Lineage: Bacteria; Pseudomonadati; Pseudomonadota; Gammaproteobacteria; Pseudomonadales; Ventosimonadaceae.